RNAcentral lists this ribosomal RNA (253 nucleotides) under uncultured bacterium. Its description in RNAcentral is "partial 16S ribosomal RNA". It matches the Rfam family "Bacterial small subunit ribosomal RNA", at positions 524 to 776 of the family's 1533-position model. The record is from RNAcentral.
GACAGAGGGUGCAACCGUUGCUCGGAAUUACUGGGCGUAAAGCGCGUGUAGGCGGGCCGGAAAGUCGGGCGUGAAAUCCCUGGGCUCAACCCAGGAACUGCACUCGAAACUUCCGGUCUAGAAUUGUGGAGAGGUAAGUGGAAUUCCGAGUGUAGAGGUGAAAUUCGUAGAUAUUCGGAAGAACACCAGUGGCGAAGGCGACUUACUGGACACAUAUUGACGCUGAGGUGCGAAAGCGUGGGGAGCAAACAGG